CGCCGACAUCCUCUGCCCUAAUGCCGUAGUCCAUCGCCGAGAACACAGAGAGAGGAGUGGAGGUCUACGGCGCCGCCGACGUCGUCUGUGGCCAUCACUGUCGUUCAGUACUCGCGUAAAGAUUUCGGGGAAGCUUCGUGCCGUGAGGGACCUGGGCGGACCUCUCUCGCAUGGGAAUUUGGCUGGACUCGCCGGGAAUUUCUCUCCGUCGCUCACGGUUCGCCGCCGACCACAUCACGACGUGGCCAGACUCAUCCGACCGCUCCUACACCGGUAAGACUCCUCCUGUGUGCCUCGCCUAGUUCCGCGGUCAACGUAGCACUCGUCUGGUAGGGAUUACAGCUCGGAUGCCUGGUUCUGCAUGUUCCGAUGAGGUCGCUACCGUAGCCUGGUGACCGUCGUGCUCGCUCUGGUGCGCGUAGGGUCGACGAUGAGGGCGCAACCGUUGGAUUCAGCAAACGGUUUAGAUUACAUGGAUGAGGCUAGUGAACCAGAGCCGUUGAUUUUUCAGCACAUGGCCACGAUUAGACCAUAGGUACCGAUUCGUAUAAACGAACCCGGUGCGUUGAUCGGCCUCUGGACGCGUAAUAUUGCGUCGGUGGAUUUUAAAUUAGAGUCGUUGUUCGGCCAAUGGGUGGCGUGGAUCCGAGCCAGUCUAACCCCUUCACGCGAUGUAAUCUGGAUCGUCCAGAUCUAAUCCAAUGGCCUGUGUCCUGCGAUACCCCUUCGCAAGCACGUUUUGCAUAAGAAACCCUACAGUUCGGGGUAAUCAACCCGCGGUUCAUGAAAGCCGAGCCCUGUGUCUUAGACUCUUUGUGCUUUAGACCCUGUACUCCUAAGAAAUUGUUGCGCAGUCCAGGAAUUAAAGGAAACAAAAAAAUAGAUUUAGAAAUUGAUUUUGAGUAUAAAAAUAAUUGUAAAAUUACAUAAUUCAUAGAAAAUUCAUAAGAAGUCCAAAUUAAUCCAUUCCAAUUCCUAUAAUUUUGUAAUAUUAUUGUUUAUCAUCUAGUAUCACUGUUUUGACAUGAAAGUCAGAUAAAAAAAUUUAUAUCCUAUUUAAUCUUGUACAAAACACAUAGAAUCGUUAGAAAUUCAUAACUUAAAAUCUAUAACUCCAAAUUGACCCGUUCCAGUUGCGUUAGCUUCAUAUGAACAUUUACUAAGCAAUAACGAUAUUUAUUAUACCAUGUCUCAUUCUUUUAUAAUUAGAUCUUUAUUUAACUUAUGUUGGUUAGUCUUGUUAAUCUGCUUAUCAUAAUAAUCUACUAAUAUCUGAUCUAUGGUCAAUUUAUAAUUUAGAUUAAAGUUGAAUUAAUUACUACUUUAGGUCAUCUUUUCUCUGGAAUUAUAAAAUAAAUAUAGAACCUAGUUUUAACUUGAUGACCACGACUCCGACCUUAGUAGUUCUCGAUCCCACGAUCUCGUAGCAACGCGUAGAUUAUCAUUAUGCAGUUUGUUCUUAUGUUUGGUGUGAUGUUAAUUUUGUCUAUACCAUGUCUGUUUGUAUUUCUACGACUAGCAGUGAGGUCACGAGGAUUGAAGAAUCACCCUAGUACCUGGAAUCUCAAGUCCCAGGCAAGUUGUGUCCUUGAUCACUUUUGUUUACCCAAUAAUGUUCUUUAUUAUCACUAUUCAAUGCAUAGGUUUAAUUUUGAUGGGACCGAAUAGGUCACCCUAGUCUGUUUCUCUUUUU
RNAcentral lists this long non-coding RNA (1693 nucleotides) under Zea mays. RNAcentral describes it as "long non-coding RNA (ZMAY_LNC003231)". Lineage: Eukaryota; Viridiplantae; Streptophyta; Magnoliopsida; Poales; Poaceae. The record is from RNAcentral.